RNAcentral lists this ribosomal RNA (253 nucleotides) under uncultured bacterium. RNAcentral's name for it is "partial 16S ribosomal RNA". It matches the Rfam family "Bacterial small subunit ribosomal RNA", at positions 524 to 776 of the family's 1533-position model. The record is from RNAcentral.
UACAGAGGUCUCAAGCGUUGUUCGGAUUCAUUGGGCGUAAAGGGUGCGUAGGCGGCGCGGUAAGUCGGGUGUGAAAUCCCGAGGCUCAACCUCGGGUCUGCAGUCGAUACGGGCGGACUGGAGUUCGGCAGGGGAGACUGGAAUUCCUGGUGUAGCGGUGAAAUGCGCAGAUAUCAGGAGGAACACCGGUGGCGAAGGCGGGUCUCUGGGCAGUAACUGACGCUGAGGAACGAAAGCGUGGGUAGCAAACAGG